AGAGCGAACGCUGGCGGCGUGCCUAACACAUGCAAGUCGAACGUGAACGGGGCAACCCUAGUAAAGUGGCGUACGGGUGAGUAACACGUAGGUAAUCUACCUUACAGUUUGGAAUAACCUGCCGAAAGGCGGGCUAAUACUGGAUAGAGCGACGGAAACCGUAACGGUUUUUUCGGGAAAGGGAGCUCGAUAAGAGCCUUCGCUGUAAGAUGAGCCUGCGUCUGAUUAGCUAGUUGGUGAGGUAAUGGCUCACCAAGGCGAUGAUCAGUAGCUGGUCUGGAGAGGAUGAUCAGCCACACGUGGAACUAGAAACACGG
This 317-nucleotide ribosomal RNA is filed under the name uncultured soil bacterium. RNAcentral describes it as "bacterial SSU rRNA". It matches the Rfam family "Bacterial small subunit ribosomal RNA", at positions 26 to 329 of the family's 1533-position model. The record is from RNAcentral.